RNAcentral lists this long non-coding RNA (623 nucleotides) under Physcomitrium patens. Its description in RNAcentral is "long non-coding RNA (PPAT_LNC012597)". The record is from RNAcentral. Lineage: Eukaryota; Viridiplantae; Streptophyta; Bryopsida; Funariales; Funariaceae.
CUUCACAUCAGUUGUCAACCUUCUUACCGACACCAUUAAGUUUUAGCUUCUACAGGUACACUGAAAACUUGAUAGGCUUUCGUGUUAUAAGCGUCUCUGUUUCUUGGGUUACUCCUCUCUCUGAAAGGUGUCGCAAAAGCAAUAUAAUACUCUGGGGGUAUUGGAUAAAAGUAGGUUAAAAAGAACAUAGCUUUUGUUCUGCAACGAACUUCGCAGACAUCGUUCCAGACCUGAACACAAGCGUGACAUUUUGCAGAGUUGGGACGUGAGCUGGGAAGAAGAAUCUCGAGAAGAAAAUCAUCUAGUCAAAGUGCAGAAAUGGUGGCACCGCACUUGCUGGGGCUGUACCAAGCACCAGAGACGGCAACUGCGAAAAAACCAAGCCAGAAGAGUGAUGUAUAUUCCUUUGGAGUUGUACUGCUUGAAAUACUAACUGGAAGGUCAGCCUUCGCCCAACUGGCUUCAGGCGAACUAGAUCUUGUCACGUGGACUAAGCUGGCACUUCAGGAGAAGAGACCUUUUACCGAAAUUUUUGAUCCUUACUUGGUGAAAGGCAACGUGGACAAGUGCGAGUUGAUCGAAACUCUUCAGGUGAGUAUUUUUGUAGAGCAGCCUUGUUGAUG